GUCUGCUGUGGAAACGCAACGCUUAACGUUGCGCGUGCAGUGGGUACGGGCUGACUAGAGUGCAGUAGGGGAGUCUGGAAUUCCUGGUGUAGCGGUGAAAUGCGCAGAUAUCAGGAGGAACACCGGUGGCGAAGGCGGGACUCUGGGCCGUAACUGACACUGAGGAGCGAAAGCAUGGGGAGCGAACAGGAUUAGAUACCCUGGUAGUCCAUGCCGUAAACGUUGGGCACUAGGUGUGGGGGACAUUCCACGUUCUCCGCGCCGUAGCUAACGCAUUAAGUGCCCCGCCUGGGGAGUACGGUCGCAAGGCUAAAACUCAAAGGAAUUGACGGGGGCCCGCACAAGCGGCGGAGCAUGCGGAUUAAUUCGAUGCAACGCGAAGAACCUUACCAAGGCUUGACAUACACCGGAUUGGGCUGGAAACAGUCUUUCCCUUUUGGGGCUGGUGUACAGGUGGUGCAUGGUUGUCGUCAGCUCGUGUCGUGAGAUGUUGGGUUAAGUCCCGCAACGAGCGCAACCCUCGUUCUAUGUUGCCAGCACGUGAUGGUGGGAACUCAUAGGAGACUGCCGGGGUCAACUCGGAGGAAGGUGGGGAUGACGUCAAAUCAUCAUGCCCUUUAUGUCUUGGGCUUCACGCAUGCUACAAUGGCUGGUACAGAGAGAUGCGAGACCGUGAGGUUUGAGCGAAUCCCUUAAAGCCAGUCUCAGUUCGGAUCGUGGUCUGCAAUUCGACUACGUGAAGUCGGAGUCGCUAGUAGUCGCAGAUCAGCAACGCUGCGGUGAAUACGUUCCCGGGCCUUGUACACACCGCCCGUCAAGUCACGAAAGUCGGUAACACCCGAAGCCGGUGGCCCAACCCUUGUGGAGGGGGCCGUCUAAGGUGGGACUGGCAAUUGGGACUAAGUCGUAACAAGGUAGA
This 919-nucleotide ribosomal RNA is filed under the name uncultured Brevibacterium sp. RNAcentral's name for it is "bacterial SSU rRNA". It matches the Rfam family "Bacterial small subunit ribosomal RNA", at positions 587 to 1500 of the family's 1533-position model. Lineage: Bacteria; Bacillati; Actinomycetota; Actinomycetes; Micrococcales; Brevibacteriaceae. The record is from RNAcentral.